This is a long non-coding RNA of Rhagoletis zephyria (snowberry fruit fly), 97 nucleotides long. RefSeq lists it as uncharacterized. The record is from RefSeq and is a predicted model, not a curated record. Lineage: Eukaryota; Metazoa; Arthropoda; Insecta; Diptera; Tephritidae.
UAUGUACUUAAUGUCAAUUCGAAAUUCUAAGUAUGCUGUUUUUGUCUACUCGACUAGGCUCACGCCUUGUUCAAACCUUAAAAUAGUUUAUGAAAAU